RNAcentral lists this ribosomal RNA (468 nucleotides) under uncultured bacterium. Its description in RNAcentral is "partial 16S ribosomal RNA". It matches the Rfam family "Bacterial small subunit ribosomal RNA", at positions 28 to 507 of the family's 1533-position model. The record is from RNAcentral.
GACGUACGCUGGCGGCGUGCUUAACACAUGCAAGUCGAACGGAAAGGCCCUGCUUUUGUGGGGUGCUCGAGUGGCGAACGGGUGAGUAACACGUGAGUAACCUGCCCUUGACUUUGGGAUAACUUCAGGAAACUGGGGCUAAUACCGGAUAGGAGCUCCUGCUGCAUGGUGGGGGUUGGAAAGUUUCGGCGGUUGGGGAUGGACUCGCGGCUUAUCAGCUUGUUGGUGGGGUAGUGGCUUACCAAGGCUUUGACGGGUAGCCGGCCUGAGAGGGUGACCGGCCACAUUGGGACUGAGAUACGGCCCAGACUCCUACGGGAGGCAGCAGUGGGGAAUAUUGCACAAUGGGCGGAAGCCUGAUGCAGCAACGCCGCGUGCGGGAUGACGGCCUUCGGGUUGUAAACCGCUUUCGCCUGUGACGAAGCGUGAGUGACGGUACUGGGUAAAGAAGCACCGGCUAACUACGUG